AGCGGCAGCCUAACACAUGCAAGUCGAACGGUAACUUUUGGUGCUUGCACCGAAAGACGAGUGGCGAACGGGUGCGUAACGCGUAUGCAAUCUGCCUUUUACUAGGGUAUAGCCCAGAGAAAUUUGGAUUAAUCCCCUAUAACAUCAUUUUUCCGCAUGGUUAAAUGAUUAAAGCUUCGGCGGUAAAAGAUGAGCAUGCGUCUUAUUAGUUUGUAGGUGAGGUAACGGCUCACCUAGACUACGAUAGGUAGGGGCCCUGAGAGGGGGACCCCCCACACUGGUACUGAGACACGGACCAGACUCCUACGGGAGGCAGCAGUGAGGAAUAUUGGACAAUGGACGAAAGUCUGAUCCAGCUAUGCCGCGUGCAGGAUGACGGCCCUACGGGUUGUAAACUGCUUUUAUACAGGAAGAAAUACCCCGACGUGUCGGGGCUUGACGGUACUGUAAGAAUAAGGAUCGGCUAACUCCGUGCCAGCAGCCGCGGUAAUACGGAGGAUUCGAGCGUUAUCCGGAAUCAUUGGGUUUAAAGGGUCCGUAGGCGGUUUUUUAAGUCAGAGGUGAAAUCCUGCAGCUCAACUGUAGAAUUGCCUUUGAAACUGAAAAACUUGAGUUAUUGUGAAGUGGUUAGAAUGUGUGGUGUAGCGGUGAAAUGCAUAGAUAUCACACAGAAUACCAAUUGCGAAGGCAGAUCACUAACAAUAUACUGACGCUCAGGGACGAAAGCGUGGGUAGCGAACAGGAUUAGAUACCCUGGUAGUCCACGCCGUAAACGAUGGAUACUAGCUGUAUGUCUACCUCAGGUAGAUGUGUGGCCAAGCGAAAGUGAUAAGUAUCCCACCUGGGGAGUACGAU
RNAcentral lists this ribosomal RNA (855 nucleotides) under uncultured Flavobacteriaceae bacterium. RNAcentral describes it as "bacterial SSU rRNA". It matches the Rfam family "Bacterial small subunit ribosomal RNA", at positions 38 to 886 of the family's 1533-position model. The record is from RNAcentral. Lineage: Bacteria; Pseudomonadati; Bacteroidota; Flavobacteriia; Flavobacteriales; Flavobacteriaceae.